AACCAUAGAAACCUGCGGAGUACCUGCGGAAGGAUCAUUAUCAAGAGUGUAUGACCCCCUUAUAAAAUAGUGGGGUUAACCCUCCCGUCCUUUGAAGGCCCCUCUUUUGUUGAGGGUAAUUUGAACCCUUCUGCUUCGGUGGGUUUACUCACCGGAACAACCUCAAAAUUCUUGUUCAACAGUUCAGUCCGAGUGGUAUAUGAAUUCUUGAAAACUUUCAACAACGGAUCUCAGAUCGGA
This 240-nucleotide unclassified non-coding RNA is filed under the name soil metagenome. RNAcentral's name for it is "partial contains 5.8S ribosomal RNA, internal transcribed spacer 2, and large subunit ribosomal RNA". The record is from RNAcentral.